UAAACCCUGCGCUGCUCGUGAAGGGGCUUGUAUUUUGGCCCAACACCUUAAAACGGGGAGCCAUAACCCCGGGCGGUGUGCACGCCUCCCUUUAAAAAGGAGGAAGCCUGAUGCCCGGCAGCGGCGCCCACUUGUUUAUAAAGGGACCAAAAUGUGGCCUCACACGGCUGCCGCGGGGAAUUA
RNAcentral lists this non-coding RNA (183 nucleotides) under bacterium. RNAcentral describes it as "6S RNA". It matches the Rfam family "6S / SsrS RNA". Rfam says of the family: E. coli 6S RNA was the first non coding RNA to be sequenced, but its function was unknown until recently. It consists of 184 nucleotides that fold into an extended hairpin structure with a large single-stranded internal bulge. The record is from RNAcentral.